UGGGGAAUAUUGGACAAUGGGCGCAAGCCUGAUCCAGCCAUGCCGCGUGAGUGAUGAAGGCCUUAGGGUUGUAAAGCUCUUUCGCCGGUGAAGAUAAUGACGGUAACCGGAGAAGAAGCCCCGGCUAACUUCGUGCCAGCAGCCGCGGUAAUACGAAGGGGGCUAGCGUUGCUCGGAAUCACUGGGCGUAAAGCGCACGUAGGCGGAUCGUUAAGUCAGGGGUGAAAUCCUGGAGCUCAACUCCAGAACUGCCCUUGAUACUGGCGAUCUCGAGUUCGAGAGAGGUUGGUGGAACUCCGAGUGUAGAGGUGAAAUUCGUAGAUAUUCGGAAGAACACCAGUGGCGAAGGCGGCCAACUGGCUCGAUACUGACGCUGAGGUGCGAAAGCGUGGGGAGCAAAACAGGAUUAGAUACCCUGGUAGUCCACGCCGUAAAACGAUGGAUGCUAGCCGUUGGGGGGUUUACCUCUCAGUGGCGCAGCUAACGCCUUAAGCAUCCCGCCUGGGGAGUACGGUCGCAAGAUUAAAACUUAAAUGAAUUGACGGGGUCAUAGCUGUUUCCU
This 562-nucleotide ribosomal RNA is filed under the name uncultured bacterium. Its description in RNAcentral is "partial 16S ribosomal RNA". It matches the Rfam family "Bacterial small subunit ribosomal RNA", at positions 355 to 1375 of the family's 1533-position model. The record is from RNAcentral.